ACCCUUUAAUGUUUGAUGUUCUAACGUGGACCCGUUACCCGGGUUGCGGACAGUGUCUGGUGGGUAGUUUGACUGGGGCGGUCUCCUCCUAAAGAGUAACGGAGGAGCACGAAGGUUGGCUAAUCCUGGUCGGACAUCAGGAGGUUAGUGCAAUGGCAUAAGCCAGCUUGACUGCGAGCGUGACGGCGCGAGCAGGUGCGAAAGCAGGUCAUAGUGAUCCGGUGGUUCUGAAUGGAAGGGCCAUCGCUCAACGGAUAAAAGGUACUCCGGGGAUAACAGGCUGAUACCGCCCAAGAGUUCAUAUCGACGGCGGUGUUUGGCACCUCGAUGUCGGCUCAUCACAUCCUGGGGCUGAAGUAGGUCCCAAGGGUAUGGCUGUUCGCCAUUUAAAGUGGUACGCGAGCUGGGUUUAGAACGUCGUGAGACAGUUCGGUCCCUAUCUGCCGUGGGCGCUGGAGAACUGAGGGGGGCUGCUCCUAGUACGAGAGGACCGGAGUGGACGCAUCACUGGUGUUCGGGUUGUCAUGCCAAUGGCACUGCCCGGUAGCUAAAUGCGGAAGAGAUAAGUGCUGAAAGCAUCUAAGCACGAAACUUGCCCCGAGAUGAGUUCUCCCUGAGACUUAGAGUCUCCUGAAGGAACGUUGAAGACGACGACGUUGAUAGGCCGGGUGUGUAAGCGCAGC
Molecule: ribosomal RNA, 683 nt
Filed under: Salmonella enterica subsp. enterica serovar Enteritidis
Lineage: Bacteria; Pseudomonadati; Pseudomonadota; Gammaproteobacteria; Enterobacterales; Enterobacteriaceae
Description: partial 23S ribosomal RNA
Rfam family: Bacterial large subunit ribosomal RNA
Source: RNAcentral